CAACGAACGAAUCUAGAAAUGAUGCUACCACCGGUGUUGAUGGAAAUGUGUUUUCAGAUAAGUUAACUAAUUUGUUAGUAACCAACACUACUACUGAAUCUACAACCCAUUUGGGUAUUGCCGUUGACCCAGC
This 133-nucleotide non-coding RNA is filed under the name Fragilariopsis kerguelensis. Lineage: Eukaryota; Bacillariophyta; Bacillariophyceae; Bacillariales; Bacillariaceae. The record is from RNAcentral.